ACCCAGAUUAAAAAACACCAGUUUUCUUUUUCCUCUAACCAGACUAAUUACACAACAAAUUUCAAUAAGUAUUUUUAAAAUAAACAAAAGAAGUAUUCUUUUACACAUAAAGGUAAAUGAUUUAUCCAUCCUCAAAAGCAUAAUCGCCCAUCUCACUUCAAGCCUCUUCAUGAUGAUAAACAAAUUUUGUAUACACCAACAAACAUCUCUAUGUACAGAUGGAAGCAUGUGAAAUAGAAUACCUUCAAGCCACUUGAUCAUCUCCACAAGCAUCAAUUUUUUCCACAGUGCUUGUCAAGGAUAGAAGUUCCAUCAACUCCAUCCGAUACUCGAGGCCUCGAAGAUAGUGUCCCAGAAGCAUACACCAGAAGAGUAGACGCGCCAGAUAAUCCCUUGUUAAAGAAAUGAGGGGCUGGAACUGAAGUGAAGUGUUUUCAACAAGUUCUGCACAAUCUUCACUCCCAAUAUUCCGUGUUCCAGUUGAUGCAUUCUCUGAUUGAGGUGGAACUUUGGAAUGCAUCUUAGGUGAAAGAGUUGCAAGGAGACCAUGGACUACAGAAUGGAUUAUUUCUUUCAAUUCAGGGGAUGUAGGUUCUGACAACUCAGCCACCUUUUCUGGUUGUAGUGAUCUUAAGUAGUCCAGUAAAUCAUUCUUUUCUUCACCAACAAACCGUUGCAUCUGAAGAGCAGCGCUUUUCCUCUUGACUUCAUGCAGUUCCUUUUUAACAGAAGAUAAACGAGACUGCAAAUCAAGAAUAUAUUGCCGAGCUUCAGAGGACAUUUCACCAAGGCCUUCAAUACUAAUAUUAUCAGAUGGAUCUUCAGUUCUUUUUUCAAAUUUGACAUUUUUUCCAUAAUAUUGAUUUGCUUUCGCACUGUCUACCUCUGUUCCUUGCAAAUUAUGUUUAGAGUUUUCUGGCUUUUGGUUUUCAAUAUUUCCUUCAUGCGCAUAGAGGUUUCUUUCAAGGCAA
This 971-nucleotide unclassified non-coding RNA is filed under the name Hevea brasiliensis (rubber tree). The record is from RNAcentral. Lineage: Eukaryota; Viridiplantae; Streptophyta; Magnoliopsida; Malpighiales; Euphorbiaceae.